GAGAUACAAACAUGCUUUAUUCCAUACUGAGCAGCAUUUUGAAACGGCGACAUUUUGAACUUUUUUAUAUUUAGAGUGAGAGUGGAUACACGUUACACUGGCGCCGACAUUUUGAAAAUUUGAGGAAACAAAAACAUUCUCCAACGAGUUCUUCAGCUCGGGGAAUGAGAGAAUAGAUUCACCUUUGUGUCGCUUUUCAGAUCGUAUUUUAAUUCCUUUCCAGUACUUUAAUUUCUUUGAACUUCUCUGUUACUAAGCCUAUAUUGAAUUUUUAAAAUUAAGAAAUCCGUGAUUUUACUUGCAGGCAUGACUGAUUAAUGGAAUUAUUUUACUUUUAUAUAGAAUAUGGACGGCACUCCAGUACAGCAUGUGCAUGGUUGGCCUGUUGACAAUUUUAGAAACGCAUCUUGGUCUAUUAUACAGAGUAUUGUUGUACUGCUCCAAAGUGCUUGUUGACAGACUGAAACCACUUGCUUGCGGCUCAUAAGGUUCACUUCUUGAGAGCAGGCAGCUACAAAAUGGAAGGUCAACAAAUCCAGUAUACUUGAAAAGCAAGAAAGAAACACCAGAAAAUAUAAAAAGACAGAAGAACAAGGGAACUUUAAAAAAAAAAACUUUUAAGGAUAGGAAUUCAGGAUUUAUUUAGAAACUAAAUUUAUUUUGAGAAGAGCAGUGUUUGACAAAGCGCUCUGUUACUUUAAGAGAUAAUGUAUUAUCACAUUGGUUUUGUUAUUGUCGAGCCCGCUUGUGGAAGCGAAGACAUAGUUGUCCAAAUGUCUAUUUGGCAUAUGUGCGUGCGUGCGUCCGUCCAUCCGGAUUUGUUUGUCCGGACCAUAAUUUGGACAUGCAUGGAGCAAUCUUGUUUAUGUAUAGUAUGAAUGUUAACCUCAGUGAGACGGAGUGUCAUGCGCAAGCCCCAGGUUCCUAUCUCAAAGGUCAAGAUCACACUUACAGGUCAAAGGUCAAAUUCAGAAAUGACUGUCCGGAGCAUUUCUUCUUCAUGCAUGGAGGGAUUUUGAUGUAACUUGGCACAAUUGUUCACCAUCAUGAGAUGGAGUGUAUUGCGCAAGAACCAGGUCCCUAGGUCUAAGGUCAAGGUCACACUUAGAGGUCAAAAUUCAGAUACAAAAAUGACUGUCUGGAGCAUUUCUUUUUGAUGCAUAGAUGGAUUUUGAUGUAACUUGGCACAAUUGUUCAUCAUCAUGCGACGGAAUGUCAUGCAAAAGAUCCUAGAAUUACUUCCCUUUGUUGUUACUAUAAAUAGCUUACAUUUGUAACUUUUUUAUUACUGGUCGUAGGGAAAAAUCAAGACUACUUUUCUGCAGUACAACAUGCAUGUUACAUCCAAUUUUUAGGUGUAUUUUGACCUAUCUCUGCUGGUGCGGAUUUUUUUUAAUUUUUUUU
Mercenaria mercenaria is the source of this 1404-nucleotide long non-coding RNA. RefSeq lists it as uncharacterized. The record is from RefSeq and is a predicted model, not a curated record. The transcript is spliced from 4 exons. Lineage: Eukaryota; Metazoa; Mollusca; Bivalvia; Venerida; Veneridae.